This 253-nucleotide ribosomal RNA is filed under the name uncultured bacterium. RNAcentral's name for it is "partial 16S ribosomal RNA". It matches the Rfam family "Bacterial small subunit ribosomal RNA", at positions 524 to 776 of the family's 1533-position model. The record is from RNAcentral.
UACGUAGGGUGCAAGCGUUGUCCGGAAUUAUUGGGCGUAAAGAGCUCGUAGGCGGUUUGUCGCGUCUGGUGUGAAAAUCCAGGGCUUAACCCUGGACCUGCAUCGGGUACGGGCAGACUAGAGUGCGGUAGGGGAGAUCGGAAUUCCUGGUGUAGCGGUGAAAUGCGCAGAUAUCAGGAGGAACACCGGUGGCGAAGGCGGUUCUCUGGGCCUGUACUGACGCUGAGGAGCGAAAGCGUGGGGAGCGAACAGG